Molecule: ribosomal RNA, 378 nt
Filed under: Triticum aestivum (bread wheat)
Lineage: Eukaryota; Viridiplantae; Streptophyta; Magnoliopsida; Poales; Poaceae
Description: partial small subunit ribosomal RNA
Source: RNAcentral
AUGCGGCGAGACGCGGCCGUCGUGCCCGCGGCGGUCGUGACCUCGCAGCAGAUAGCGGCCGGCGGGGCGGAAAUGGGGAAUGUCGGGCCGGUGGUCAUCGACAUUGACUCGGCGCCGGCGACGGUGGCCAUCGACAUCGACCUCAACACGGGGGGCGCGACCCGCGACGUGGCGUGCCGGAUCUGCCACCUCAGUCCCGAGGGCAGCAAUGGGCCCGCGGCGGCACCUGGGUCGGAGGUGAUCCGGCUUGGCUGCUACUGCAAGGAGGAGCUCGGCCACGCGCACCGACAAUGCGCCAAGGCAUGGUUCCAGAACAAGGAGAUAACAUUUGCCAGAUCAAAUGGAAUAAUGAUGCAUGCUCGAGGAAAACCUACAUAA